UGCCAGCAGCCGCGGUAAUACGGAGGGUACGAGCGUUAAUCGGAAUUACUGGGCGUAAAGCGCGCGUAGGCGGUUUGUUAAGUGGGAUGUGAAAGCCCCGGGCUUAACCCGGGAACUGCAUUCCAAGCUGACAGACUAGAGUAUGGUAGAGGGCAGUAGAAUUUCCUGUGUAGCGGUGAAAUGCGUAGAUAUAGGAAGGAAUACCGAUGGCGAAGGCAGCUGCCUGGACCAAUACUGACGCUGAGGUGCGAAAGCGUGGGGAGCAAACAGGAUUAGAUA
RNAcentral lists this ribosomal RNA (279 nucleotides) under uncultured bacterium. Its description in RNAcentral is "partial 16S ribosomal RNA". It matches the Rfam family "Bacterial small subunit ribosomal RNA", at positions 506 to 784 of the family's 1533-position model. The record is from RNAcentral.